This 400-nucleotide ribosomal RNA is filed under the name uncultured bacterium. Its description in RNAcentral is "bacterial SSU rRNA". It matches the Rfam family "Bacterial small subunit ribosomal RNA", at positions 355 to 772 of the family's 1533-position model. The record is from RNAcentral.
UGGGGAAUAUUGGGCAAUGGGCGAAAGCCUGACCCAGCCAUGCCGCGUGAGUGAUGAAGGCCCUAGGGUUGUAAAGCUCUUUCGCAGGUGAAGAUAAUGACGGUAACCUGAUAAGAAGCCCCGGCUAACUUCGUGCCAGCAGCCGCGGUAAUACGAAGGGGGCUAGCGUUGUUCGGAAUUACUGGGCGUAAAGCGCGUGUAGGCGGAUAACUAAGCUAGAGGUGAAAGCCCAAGGCUCAACCUUGGAAUUGCCUUUAGAACUGGUUAUCUGGAGUUUUGGAGGGGAGUGCGGAAUUCCUAAUGUAGAGGUGAAAUUCGUAGAUAUUAGGAGGAACACCGGUGGCGAAGGCGGCACUCUGGACAAAUACUGACGCUGAGACGCGAAAGCGUGGGGAGCAAA